Molecule: signal recognition particle RNA, 112 nt
Filed under: Pteropus alecto (black flying fox)
Lineage: Eukaryota; Metazoa; Chordata; Mammalia; Chiroptera; Pteropodidae
Description: Metazoan signal recognition particle RNA
Rfam family: Metazoan signal recognition particle RNA
About the family: The signal recognition particle (SRP) is a universally conserved ribonucleoprotein.
Source: Rfam by way of RNAcentral
AGUUUAGCAUCAAUAUGGUGACCUCUGGGAGCAGGGGACCACCAGGUUGCCUAAGGAGGGGUGAACUGGACCAGGUAAGAAAUUGAGCAGGUUGAAAUUCCCAUGCCAUUCU